RNAcentral lists this long non-coding RNA (238 nucleotides) under Elaeis guineensis (African oil palm). RNAcentral's name for it is "long non-coding RNA (EGUI_LNC001277)". The record is from RNAcentral. Lineage: Eukaryota; Viridiplantae; Streptophyta; Magnoliopsida; Arecales; Arecaceae.
AUUCAUUUUUUUUAUUCUUUUUUUAUUAAAUUUUAAGAGGAUGUUUGGAUGGAGAGAGUGAGGAUUUGGAAUGGGUGACUCCUAUGCCAUCUGUUUGCACCACACUUCAUCUUUUUCUCAAUUCAUUCCAUGCUCUAUUGUCCAUCUAUUUAUACAAAUCUUAAUUCACACCAUUUUCUAUCGUUCGGCCUAUAUAGAUCUCAAAACAAUCCAUCUUUUAUCAUCCAUCUGCCUGCAU